GAUGAACGCUGGCGGCGUGCCUAAUACAUGCAAGUCGAGCGAACAGACGAGGAGCCUGCUCUUCUGAGGUUAGCGGCGGACGGGUGAGUAACACGUGGAUAACCUACCUAUAAGACUGGGAUAACUUCGGGAAACCAGAUCUAAUACCGCAUCAUAUAUUAUACCGCAUGGUUCAAUAGUGAAAGACGCUUUUGCUGCCACAUAUAGAUGGUUCCGCGUCGCAUUAGCUAGUUGGUAAGGUAACGGCUUACCAAGGCAACGAUCCGUAGCCGACCUGAGAGGGUGAUCGGCCACACUGGAACUGAGACACGGUCCAGACUCCUACGGGAGGCAGCAGUGGGGAAUAUUGGGCAAUGGGCGAAAGCCUGACGGAGCAACGCCGCGUGGGUGAUGAAGGUCUUCGGGUCGUAAAACUCUGUUGUUGGGAAAGAACAAAUGUGUAAGUAACUAUGCACGUCUUGACGGUACCUAAACAGAAAGCCACGGCUAACUACGUG
Molecule: ribosomal RNA, 497 nt
Filed under: uncultured bacterium
Lineage: Bacteria
Description: partial 16S ribosomal RNA
Rfam family: Bacterial small subunit ribosomal RNA
Source: RNAcentral